CCUACGGGAGGCAGCAGUGGGGAAUAUUGCGCAAUGGGCGAAAGCCUGACGCAGCGACGCAGCGUGAGGGACGAAGGCCUUCGGGUUGUAAACCUCUUUCAGCGGGGACGAAGCGAAAGUGACGGUACCCGCAGAAGAAGCACCGGCUAACUACGUGCCAGCAGCCGCGGUAAUACGUAGGGUGCAAGCAUUGUCCGGAUUUAUUGGGCGUAAAGAGCUCGUAGGCGGCUUGUCACGUCGGAUGUGAAAACUCGGGGCUCAACCCCGAGCCUGCAUUCGAUACGGGCUAGCUAGAGUGUUGCAGGGGAGACUGGAAUUCCUGGUGUAGCGGUGAAAUGCGCAGAUAUCAGGAGGAACACCGGUGGCGAAGGCGGGUCUCUGGGCAACUACUGACGCUGAGGAGCGAAAGCGUGGGGAGCGAACAGGAUUAGAUACCCUGGUAGUCCACGCCGUAAACGGUGGGCGCUAGGUGUGGGGAACCUUCCACGUUCUCUGUGCCGUAGCUAACGCAUUAAGCGCCCCGCCUGGGGAGUACGGCCGCAAGGCUAAAACUCAAAGGAAUUGACGGCUGAGACNGCGACGACGACGACGAGGAGAGG
This 599-nucleotide ribosomal RNA is filed under the name uncultured bacterium. Its description in RNAcentral is "bacterial SSU rRNA". It matches the Rfam family "Bacterial small subunit ribosomal RNA", at positions 338 to 945 of the family's 1533-position model. The record is from RNAcentral.